UAGGAUUUUUCUGGUACAGAACAGAAUUCAUGUUUCCCUCAAUACUUACAAGUUGCAGAGGCCCUGAAGUAGCAAAGCAACCCCACACCAUCACACUUCCACCACCAUGCUUGACCAUAAGUAUGAUAUCUUUUUUGUGGAAUUGUGUGUUUGUUUAACACCUUAUGUAACGGGACCCCUGUCUUCCAAAGAGUUCCACCUUGAACUCCACAGAACAUUAUCCCAAAAAUGGCAAAAUUCAGAUAAGCCUUAAUGUUCUUCUGGGUUAGCUAUGGUUUUCACCUCGCCAUUUUUCCAUGGAUGCCAUAUUUCCCUAGGGUCUUUCAGAUAGUAGAGUCAUGAACAGUGACCUUUAUUGAUGCAAGAGAGGCCUGUAAUGCUUUUGAUGUUGUCCUUGGCUCGUUUGUGAAUUCCUGGAUGAGUAGUUGCUGUGCUCUUGGAGGAAUUUUGGAAGGUCGGCCACUUCUGGGAAGGUUCACUACUGUGCAGAGUUUUUUCCCCCCAUUUUGAGAUAAUGCCUCUCACUGUAGUUCUUUAGAGUCCCAGAGCCUUAGAAAUAGCUUUGUAACCCUUCCCAAACUAAUGUUCAAUCACCUUCUUCACCUUCAUUACAUUAAAUGUAACGUAAUAAAUGUAAUGUAAUGUAACUUCAUGCUGUUGAAAAAGUUCUAUGAAGCGUUGAUUUGAUUGAACAGAGUUUGCAGUAAUCGGGCCUGGUUGCAUCUAGUCCAGCUGAAACCCAUUAUGAAUUAAGUGUUAUAGAUUUGGGGACUUAGUAACUACAGGGGCAAAUACAUUUUCACACAGGCACAGUUGGUAUUGGAUAACUUUUUUUGCUUCAAUAAAUAACAUUAUCAUUUAAAAACUGUAUUUUGUGUUUACUCAGGUUGCCUCUUUUGUCUUAGAUUUUGUUUUAAUUUCAGAACCAAUUUAGUCCGAGAUAUACACAAAACAUAAGAAAUCAGAAUGGGGCAAAUACUUUUUCACAGCACUGUAUUUAUUUGUUUAUUUAUUCAAAUAUAAAAUACUCAAAUUAACACAAAACAUUCUUAUUAGUAGUAAUUAUAACAAAUAAUUACAUUAUUUACCACAUUAAACUGAUAUUAAAUACAUAGAGCCAAAAUGGGAUGUGACUGUGAUUAACAGCUGCAGUGCUGCACUCAACACUGCUUCUCCGUAAUAUUUAUGCAAAUCUCCUCCUCCUUUUGUAAUAUUAGCACCGUGCUUAUCUAGAGAAGAAGCAGUUCUCAUUAAUCCUCCUUCAACACAAACAUGUUUGCUUCAGCUCCACUGCUGCUGCUGGCUCUCGCCCCCUAUGUGUUCUGUGCUACUGAGCUCAUCCAGCCAGACUCAGUGGUUAUAAAGCCAGGAGAGACUUUAACCAUCACCUGUAGAGUGUCUGGAGCUUCUAUCACUGAUAGCAGCAGCCACUUUGGAACAGCUUGGAUUCGACAACCUGCAGGAAAAGCUCUGGAAUGGAUCAACACCAUUGAUUAUGAUGGGGAUAUUUAUGAGAAAGAUUCACUCAAAGACAAGUUUGUUGUCUCUCGAGACAUUUCCAGUAACACUCUGACCUUACGGGGACAGAACAUGCAGACUGAAGACACAGCUGUGUAUUACUGUGCUCGUGAUCCACAUUGACAUGACAAGCUGCAGCGCUGCACAAAAACAUCAUAUUCAUAACAAUUUAGUUCUGUAUUUAAAUAAUAACUAGCUACAUUUAACUGACUGAGUAAUGUCCACAUCACACCUCAAUGCCUAGAUAUAAGGAUACAUUUCAGUCAUGAAUGUACAGAAAAUAAAGUAAUUAUAAAAAGUUAUAUGUAAAGAGAGAGAGAGAGAGAGAGAGAGCGAGCGAGAGAGAGGAGAGGAGAGAGAGAGAGAGAGAGAGAGAGAGAGAGAGCGCUGAAUGGUCCUUCAGAAUUUUUUUUUCUCAUUAAACCAGUUGCUGACUAGUCACAUAAAUAGUUGAAUAAAGUACACCCAGA
Molecule: non-coding RNA, 1988 nt
Organism: Ictalurus furcatus (blue catfish)
Lineage: Eukaryota; Metazoa; Chordata; Actinopteri; Siluriformes; Ictaluridae
Source: the annotation of a RefSeq genome assembly